GUGAUGGUUGCAAGGUGGCAAAGAUAGUGGUAGGCGGUAGGAGAAGGCAAGGAGAGAGGAGGCUAGAAGGGCGCAAAGGAUAGAGAAGAAGAAGUCGGCGAGGUGUGUCAGGCUUAGGGUUAAGGUGAGAUAGUGUGAAAGGGAUGUGUACGGCGGUAUGGGCAGAGGAAGGGAGGAGUCAAACGGCAUUGGUGAAGGGAAGAGGAGAUGUAUGCCGUACCUUUUAAUGGUUCCUUCUCUAUGUUGAUCAUGAUCUACAAUUUAGAACUGGGGGAAGAGAGAAGAGUGGAGAGGAAAAUAGGAAGGGUGAGAUUUUUUAGGGUUUAGAAAAAAUGGAAGAGAAAAGGGUUGGGACAAAAAUCAAAGAGGGUAGAGUUUCUUAAAAAGGAGAUAAGGAAUUCGAUUUCAUUAAUUAAAAAAAUGGUAGAUCAAUAGUUUCAGUCAAGGUUUUAUGGUUCAAUGGAAGAAGGGAGCCCAUAUCAAAUAAUGAAGACGUAAUUGACAGAUGGGGCCCACACUCAACAAUAAAGGAGAGAUUGCCACGUGGCAAUCCUUUGGGGAUUAAUAUAUAGUGUAAUAUAGUAAUAGAUGGGGAUUAAUAUAUAGUAAUAGAUAGAUAAUAGACAAUAUAUAAUAGAUAUAUAUUAGGGUAGAAACGUAUAAAACUUAUUUGAACUAUAGAGUAUUGUGAUUUAGCUAUUUAGCCUUUCUAAAUUUUAAUUUUACUAUCUAACCUUUUAAUUUAUUUAAUUUUAGUCAAUCAACGACAAUUUGACUUAUAAGUUGCAAUCAAA
This 794-nucleotide long non-coding RNA is filed under the name Ananas comosus (pineapple). RNAcentral's name for it is "long non-coding RNA (ACOM_LNC024075)". Lineage: Eukaryota; Viridiplantae; Streptophyta; Magnoliopsida; Poales; Bromeliaceae. The record is from RNAcentral.